This 468-nucleotide ribosomal RNA is filed under the name uncultured bacterium. Its description in RNAcentral is "partial 16S ribosomal RNA". It matches the Rfam family "Bacterial small subunit ribosomal RNA", at positions 28 to 507 of the family's 1533-position model. The record is from RNAcentral.
GACGAACGCUGGCGGCGUGCUUAAUACAUGCAAGUCGAACGGAAAGGCCCUGCUUUUGUGGGGUGCUCGAGUGGCGAACAGGUGAGUAACACGUGAGUAACCUGCCCUUGACUUUGGGAUAACUUCAGGAAACUGGGGCUAAUACCGGAUAGGAGCUCCUGCUGCAUGGUGGGGGUUGGAAAGUUUCGGCGGUUGGGGAUGGACUCGCGGCUUAUCAGCUUGUUGGUGGGGUAGUGGCUUACCAAGGCUUUGACGGGUAGCCGGCCUGAGAGGGUGACCGGCCACAUUGGGACUGAGAUACGGCCCAGACUCCUACGGGAGGCAGCAGUGGGGAAUAUUGCACAAUGGGCGGAAGCCUGAUGCAGCAACGCCGCGUGCGGGAUGACGGCCUUCGGGUUGUAAACCGCUUUCGCCUGUGACGAAGCGUGAGUGACGGUAAUGGGUAAAGAAGCACCGGCUAACUACGUG